Molecule: long non-coding RNA, 348 nt
Filed under: Homo sapiens (human)
Lineage: Eukaryota; Metazoa; Chordata; Mammalia; Primates; Hominidae
Description: HSALNT0391231
Source: RNAcentral
CCAGUUCGAGCUUCCCGGCUGCUUUGGUUACCUAAUCAAGCCUGGGCAAUGGCAGGCGCCCCUCCCCCAGCCUCGCUGCCGCCUUGCAGUUUGAUCUCAGACUGCUGUGCUAGCAAUCAGCGAGACUCCGUGGGCGUAGGACCCUCCGAGCCAGCUGGAAAAGAAGUGCCUGCUCUCAACUCAAGAACCAAUGGCAUCAUCAGUGGAAUUCAAAGGAAGUCCCAUGAUUCUAAAUGAUUCUCAUCUUGGUAUUUAAAGUAUUGCAUGUCAAACUUUAGCAGAAGCUUUGAAACCCUGAGGGAUUUCCCCACUUACUUGCCGGUUCAGCCUUAUGGACAAGAUGUUGCU